UUCAGGUUGUGGCCGAAUUGUCGCGACGCUGGGACCUCGGGCGUCCGCGCAAGACCUUCAACGGCCUGAUUGUCAGCGGGCGCGUCGGUGAGCCCGGAGC
RNAcentral lists this transfer RNA (100 nucleotides) under uncultured Conexibacteraceae bacterium. Its description in RNAcentral is "tRNA-Pro". Lineage: Bacteria; Bacillati; Actinomycetota; Thermoleophilia; Solirubrobacterales; Conexibacteraceae. The record is from RNAcentral.